Molecule: long non-coding RNA, 2352 nt
Organism: Numida meleagris (helmeted guineafowl)
Lineage: Eukaryota; Metazoa; Chordata; Aves; Galliformes; Numididae
Exons: 3
Source: RefSeq, a predicted model, not a curated record
CCUCAACUUUUACUUUCAAUGCAUCCAGUUCAUGAGUACCCUGGCAAUAACAGGCCAUGGAAAAGUAUUCUCUGUGUAAAUGAAAGGUAUUUGAUUGUGGACCAACCUACUUGUUUAUUACCUGUGAAUGAACUCUGAACUUCCUUGAGUCAUAUCUGUGGUAUAUCUGCCCUUGCCCGCUCCUUCCCCAGUGUGUACCACCUGUGCAGGAAGCCCUGACCUCUGCUCUGAGCCCUGACUGCUCCGGGAAGGGAAUUUCUGCUGAACAUGUUGGCUUUGUUUAGGAAACUAUCACAGCAACCAGCACACAUCUUUCCUGAAGGACAGUGGCCCUUCUCAGAGCAGCUGCUGGGAUGCAGACUGAAGAAGCAGCUGGCCGGGACCGUACUCCACUUCUGCUCCCACGGGAGGUGUGGGUGCUGUCACCCCAAAACCACAAGAACUGGAGUGCACCAGUUUGUUCUACAGAAAAGAGACAAAGGUGUUGGCCCCAGCAAGCCCUGUGGCUGAAGAUCCACCAAUUGACCAUUGUUACCAGGCUGAUGCAGAUCAUUAGGCCUCUGCAAGUUUUUAUUCAUUCUCAGGAUAAAAUUUGCACUUCUGUUGCUAUUGUUAAGUAAUCACCAGACUCACGGAUAGGUGAGCACUGCAAAGCAUUACAGUAGAUAAGAUUACUAGGAGCUAUUAUUUCCUUUUUAAUAGCUUGGUCAGUAUUUUAUAACAAUGAAAAGGUUCCCCACUCAGCAAUAAUAAGCUGUAACUCUUGUAUGUAGCAGAAACUGUAAAUAUUGCAUUGCAUACAUACGUUUCUAGACGACAAGCAGAUUUAGAGAUUUGAGCAGGGUGAAAUACUGUUUCUAUCGGUGACAGCAUUAGCUUAAAUCCCGGAAGAUAUAUUCCAGAUGUUCUGUGCUAAUAGGAUUAUUUUAUAAAAUUGUAGACAGAUUUUAGAAGCAACACCCCAGUUAAGCACUUUGCGAUCCCCAUGUAGCUUUUAUUUAUUUAUUUAUUUCCAUCUGAAUUAAUGGUUCUUUGGUCUUGUGUUAGUUUCACCCAGUUGUCAUAGAUCACAAGAGAGCCAUCAUUUACUGGCAAGUGAUCACUUACUCAUUUAGAUUUCCAGGCCUCAUUAUAUAUUCAUGCUGAUUCAAAGGAAAUGCAAUGAAUUCUUUAGGUGGAGUCUCAGUAGACUGAGUGAUGAUUAUUUAUAACUUAGUAUAACAAAAGUGAUCUGUGCAGUUUGCAGAUACUCUCAAUUUUCACACAUGCAUGCACGCAUACACAUAUGGAGUGUGUAUUUUAUAAAUUUGUUGUUUGUGUUCAUACACAGAAACAACUAUGAUUCACAUGCUAAUAUCAAAGCUGAAGAAUAAAGCUGAAGAAUGUAAAGGCUGACAUUCCUUAUUUAUAUUUAAUUUUGAAGAUGACAGCUGGAUGAACAUGAAUUUUUCUUUUAGUUUGUAUUUAUCCCCAAAGCAUAUUAAAAAGACAGUUUCCCCUCAUUUCUACUUUGAAUGUGUCUGGUGCCCUCAAGUGAAACCACUGACUCAUGCUCCUUCAAAAGCCUCUGGGGAUCUUUAAUUUUGGAAACUAGAUUCAAGGGAAAAUACUUGGCUUUGCUGUCUUGGAGUAAGUGAAAAUCAAAAUCUUCGGCCAUAGGACUGUCUUCUCAUAACACAUUCCAAGGGCUGACUUUCUUUUCAUUGGUUGGCUUGUAACAUUUUGUAGCCAAGUAUUUUUCCCUACGUCUGUUCUGUGGAGUUAGAACAAAGCAGCUAUAUCUUACGUGUCAAACACACCUCAGAGGUGACUGCUGCGAAGCACUUCUGCAGGAAAGUCAGACAGACUUCGUCUUCCAAGUUGUACUUGAUCUCUUUGAUUUCCAUCACUCUUCUCCCUUAUCUUUGCCAGAACUGGAAAACUGAAAUAUGCCUUUCAUAUAAUCGACAAGAGCUGAAAAUACACAUUAUUAAUUUUAAUACAAUGAAACUAAUCUAUUCCUUUCCUUUAAAAAAUAAAUACUACUUGCAAUUGCAUGAUGAUUUAAGUGUUGCAGUGGUUUUUACAGUGUCCUGUGGUUUUCAGCUUGUCCUAUUCUCCAAGAAAAAUAAAUUAAAAGAACAAUAAAAGUUCAAAUUGCUUUCCCCCAUCAUUUUCACAGAAGUCUUGUCUGAGAAUUAAAACUAGGAUGAGAAGAAGCUUUCCCCUGUAAGACUUACAGUGCCUCCUACUUACUGGUGGCAGCAGCAUUUUUACCUCUCCUACUUAGGCCAGUAAUACAAAGAUGGUAAUUAAGAAUUCCCCUCCUAAGAGUAAAAUGACCUGAGUAUCUCAUCUCAUGUAUCAUCUCAU